This 253-nucleotide ribosomal RNA is filed under the name uncultured bacterium. RNAcentral describes it as "partial 16S ribosomal RNA". It matches the Rfam family "Bacterial small subunit ribosomal RNA", at positions 524 to 776 of the family's 1533-position model. The record is from RNAcentral.
UACGUAGGUGGCGAGCGUUGUCCGGAUUUACUGGGCGUAAAGGGCGUGCAGGCGGUUUGUUAAGUGCAGGGUGAAAGCUCCCGGCUCGACUGGGAGAGGUCCUUGCAUACUGGCGAACUCGAGGGAGGCAGAGGAAAGUGGAAUUCCCGGUGUAGUGGUGAUAUGCGUAGAUAUCGGGAGGAACACCUGUGGCGAAGGCGGCUUUCUGGGCCUUACCUGACGCUGAGACGCGAAAGCGUGGGGAGCGAACCGG